GAGUCCCUUUGAUAUUGGCCUGGUUCACUCAGAUCUUCUUCCUGAGUUUUAAGAAACAGUUCCACAUCUGAUUGAGCCGCGCCAAUAUCUCAGUGCUCUCU
This is a microRNA precursor of Arabis alpina (gray rockcress), 101 nucleotides long. NCBI's taxonomy places the organism in Eukaryota, Viridiplantae, Streptophyta, Magnoliopsida, Brassicales, Brassicaceae. The record is from Rfam.